AACGAACGCUGGCGGUAGGCUUAACACAUGCAAGUCGAGCGCCUGCCUACUGACAGCUUGCUCUGACGGGUGGGGAGCGGGGGACGACCUAGGCAUACAUCGGGAACUACUUCUUCGAACGGGAUAUCGUACGGAAUGUGACCUGAAGAACGCAUAUGACUUACCAAUGAAUGCACGGGCUUUUCGGAACUUGCGCGAUUGAAUGAGCGGAUGUCGGAUCAGCUAGCUGGCGGGGUACUGGCACACUAAGGCGACAAUUUGUAGCUGGUCCGAGAGGAUGAUCAGCCACACUGGAACUGAGACACGGUCCAGACACCUACGGGAGGCAGCAGUGGGGAAUAUUGGACAAUGGGCGCAAGCCUGAUCCAGCCAUACCGCGUGAGUGAAGAAGGCCUUCGGGUUGUAAAGCCCUUUUGUUGGGAAAGAAAAGCAGCAGGUUAAUACCCCGCUGUUCUGACGGUACCCAAAGAAUAAGCACCGGCUAACUUCGUG
This 492-nucleotide ribosomal RNA is filed under the name uncultured bacterium. Its description in RNAcentral is "partial 16S ribosomal RNA". It matches the Rfam family "Bacterial small subunit ribosomal RNA", at positions 29 to 507 of the family's 1533-position model. The record is from RNAcentral.